RNAcentral lists this ribosomal RNA (262 nucleotides) under uncultured bacterium. RNAcentral describes it as "partial 16S ribosomal RNA". It matches the Rfam family "Bacterial small subunit ribosomal RNA", at positions 793 to 1055 of the family's 1533-position model. The record is from RNAcentral.
GUCCACGCCCUAAACGAUGCGAACUGGAUGUUGGGCUCAACUUGGAGCCCAGUAUCGAAGCUAACGCGUUAAGUUCGCCGCCUGGGGAGUACGGUCGCAAGACUGAAACUCAAAGGAAUUGACGGGGCCGCACAAGCGGUGGAGUAUGUGGUUUAAUUCGAUGCAACGCGAAGAACCUUACCUGGUCUUGACAUCCACGGAACUUUCCAGAGAUGGAUUGGUGCCUUCGGGAACCGUGAGACAGGUGCUGCAUGGCUGUCGU